AGAUCCUGGUGCUUUCCCACAAGAAGUUGCUCAAUGUGGCUACCAGGCAGGACAAACAUAAGCCUGUGUCUGCAGACAGGAGGGCACCAACAAUGUGUCAAGCAACCUCAUUUGCAUCGUCACAAGCAUCUGCAGUGUGGAUAUAUGAUCAACAUGGUCGUUUGACAGUUGUGGAGCCCCUCCCACCAAUAAAGCUUUUGUAGGUGAAGAACCCGAAGGAUCUGAGGCUGUGCCAGUACAUGCUGGAGAAAUACUUGACUGGACUCGGGAGUAGGAGCCUAGGCAUUGGCCCACAGAUGUGCUGUUCUCCUUUGGAUACCCGUCGCAACAACACAAUCUUCUCUGUCUACUGGAGUUGUCUUGGUUGUAGAUUUGGAGAUCCUCAAUCUCUCAGCUUAGUUCUCUAAUGUUAAGUCAUAUCGACUCUUAGCAUAGUACUUUAUUUGCCACUGUUCUUUCUACCUUAAUUUUUCCAGAAUUUUCUAUGGGUAAGUUAUUCCAUCUAUAACACUUUAUGAUGUGUAAGCCCACACGAGGGUACCCAGAGCCCAUACACAAUGUACUCUUAUUUACCUGAGAAGUCCAAGCCAGUAACCCCAAUCUUAACUCAGUGGUGAGAAGGAACUUAAAACUUAGAACAGGACUUGUUUUCAUUCCUUUCUUGUUAGUAUCAUUCACAACUUCUGUAGAAGUUGGGAGUCCAGAAAGCAAAGGGUGGGGUUUUCUCACAUGAUCUUGACCCAUGUUGGGUUUUCUGUCUUCCAUCUCCACCUUUAACAUUUAAUAUACCACAUCUCUC
This 799-nucleotide long non-coding RNA is filed under the name Rattus norvegicus (Norway rat). RNAcentral describes it as "long non-coding RNA NONRATT025645". Lineage: Eukaryota; Metazoa; Chordata; Mammalia; Rodentia; Muridae. The record is from RNAcentral.